Molecule: ribosomal RNA, 253 nt
Filed under: uncultured bacterium
Lineage: Bacteria
Description: partial 16S ribosomal RNA
Rfam family: Bacterial small subunit ribosomal RNA
Source: RNAcentral
UACGUAGGGAGCAAGCGUUGUUCGGAUUUACUGGGCGUAAAGGGCGCGUAGGCGGCGCGGUAAGUCACUUGUGAAAUCUCUGAGCUUAACUCAGAACGGCCAAGUGAUACUGCAGUGCUAGAGUGCAGAAAGGGCAAUCGGAAUUCUUGGUGUAGCGGUGAAAUGCGUAGAUAUCAAGAGGAACACCUGAGGCGAAGGCAGCUGGCUACGCGAAUAUUGACACUGAUGCACGAAAGCGUGGGGAUCAAACAGG